Molecule: long non-coding RNA, 1123 nt
Filed under: Homo sapiens (human)
Lineage: Eukaryota; Metazoa; Chordata; Mammalia; Primates; Hominidae
Description: HSALNT0382915
Source: RNAcentral
AUUCGUCCAGCCGCGCGGCCCACAGAAGCGGAACGCGCGUCGAGAGCGCCCUGUCCGCUCGCCCCAGACAGAUGCCCGGUUAUUCAUUACCGCGAGGCCUAGAGGAAAGAGUGGCUGCCGUCUUCCUGCCCACAGCCCGCCGGACCCUCCGUCGCGGCUGCCCGGUCCCCGGAGCCGCAGCCGCCGAGCCCGGCUGUGCGUGUCGUGGCUGCUGGGGAGAAAGAGGCUUCCGGACAUGCUCUGGAGUCAGAAGACAGCGAAAAGAGAAGCAGAAGCCCCGGUGGCAAGAGUCUGAAGCAGGAAGGAUGACUGUAGCCUGUGGAUUGUACUGCAGUAGGAAACUGUCCUAGCAAGGCUCCACUUUGCCCCAGCUUCAAGCUGGAAAGGAGGAGAACAUGAAACAUUGCUUGAAGACAAUGGCCGAGACAGCAGGUCCCACCCUGCACAGCCACCAGCAUCUCUCCCCUCAGCCCUGUCUCCUCUUCUGCAGUUGGGAUCUGCACAUUUAAGCCUGAAAUUGUCCUGUGAAGUGAAGUAUGAUCGGACAGCCUCUUUUCAGCUUUUAUGACAAUGGAGACAGAGGAAUUGUGGCUCUUGCCAAGGUCACAGGAUUGGAAUACAGAGCCAAGCCACCCCAGGACAUGCAAGAGCCUCAGAAGGGAAAAAAGCCCAGCAGGAAGGGAGAACAAGUAGCCUCUGUCCUGAAGUUGUAACAGCCAGGGGCCAGGAUGGAGGAGGAGGACCCCAUAAUCUGCCCAUCUGGGACUUGGCAGGGGACCUGGGAAAAUGUACCCCAACCCAUCCCUUAAGGGCCUUUGUCUUUGGCCCAUUGGCCUAGCAUCUACUUCUUCACCGUGUCUGUUCUUGUCACACCUAGUCAGGUCUGUUUGGGUCUGAGGUGCAUGGAACAUUCUGGGUAGGCCUCCAGCAAACGGAAGCUCUUCACCGUGUUUCCAGCCUGGGACCAAGGGCAGCAUACUGGCAAAGUUGCCAAAGCAAGGGACUCCAGCCUCUUAGGAGUUAAUGACUCCCUCUCCCCAGCUGUCCUCCCCUUGGUGCUCCUCUUCCUCCCUCCUCCUGCUCACAGCAGGCAGGGCCUAGACCCGGGAGCCAUGCUGCUGUG